GAUGAACGCUGGCGGCGUGCCUAAUACAUGCAAGUCGAGCGAACAGACGAGGAGCUUGCUCCUCUGACGUUAGCGGCGGACGGGUGAGUAACACGUGGAUAACCUACCUAUAAGACUUGGAUAACUUCGUGAAACCGGAGCUAAUACCGGAUAAUAUAUUGAACCGCAUGGUUCAAUAGUGAAAGACGGUUUUGCUGUCACUUAUAGAUGGAUCCGCGCCGCAUUAGCUAGUUGGUAAGGUAACGGCUUACCAAGGCAACGAUGCGUAGCCGACCUGAGAGGGUGAUCGGCCACACUGGAACUGAGACACGGUCCAGACUCCUACGGGAGGCAGCAGUAGGGAAUCUUCCGCAAUGGGCGAAAGCCUGACGGAGCAACGCCGCGUGAGUGAUGAAGGUCUUCGGAUCGUAAAACUCUGUUAUUAGGGAAGAACAAAUGUGUAAGUAACUAUGCACGUCUUGACGGUACCUAAUCAGAAAGCCACGGCUAACUACGUG
This 497-nucleotide ribosomal RNA is filed under the name uncultured bacterium. RNAcentral describes it as "partial 16S ribosomal RNA". It matches the Rfam family "Bacterial small subunit ribosomal RNA", at positions 28 to 507 of the family's 1533-position model. The record is from RNAcentral.